UUCUAGAGUUUGAUCAUGGCUCAAAUUGAACGCUGGCGGCAGGCCUAACACAUGCAAGUCGAACGGUAGCACAGAGAGCUUGCUCUCGGGUGACGAGUGGCGGACGGGUGAGUAAUGUCUGGGAAACUGCCUGAUGGAGGGGGAUAACUACUGGAAACGGUAGCUAAUACCGCAUAACGUCGCAAGACCAAAGAGGGGGACCUUCGGGCCUCUUGCCAUCAGAUGUGCCCAGAUGGGAUUAGCUAGUAGGGGGGGUAACGGCUCACCUAGGCGACGAGCCCUAGCUGGGCUGAAAGAAACCCCCCCCUGGGGGUAAAAAACCCCCCACCCCCCCCCCGGGGGGGGGGGGAAUUGUAAAAUUUUUGCAGGGGGGGCCCACCCUUGAUCCCCCCAUGCCGCGUGAAUAAAAAAGCCCUUCGGGUUGAAAAUUUUUUCGGGGGGGAGGAGGGGUUGGGGUAAAAACCCGCAGCAAUUGACGUUACCCGCAAAAAAAGCACCGGCUAACUCCGUGCCAGCAGCCGCGGUAAUACGGAGGGUGCAAGCGUUAAUCGGAAUUACUGGGCGUAAAGCGCACGCAGGCGGUCUGUCAAGUCGGAUGUGAAAUCCCCGGGCUCAACCUGGGAACUGCAUUCGAAACUGGCAGGCUGGAGUCUUGUAGAGGGGGGUAAAAUUCCAGGUGUAGCGGUGAAAUGCGUAAAGAUCUGGAGGAAUACCGGUGGCAAAGGCGCCCCCUGGA
RNAcentral lists this ribosomal RNA (736 nucleotides) under uncultured Enterobacter sp. RNAcentral describes it as "partial 16S ribosomal RNA". It matches the Rfam family "Bacterial small subunit ribosomal RNA", at positions 1 to 733 of the family's 1533-position model. The record is from RNAcentral. Lineage: Bacteria; Pseudomonadati; Pseudomonadota; Gammaproteobacteria; Enterobacterales; Enterobacteriaceae.